This 492-nucleotide ribosomal RNA is filed under the name uncultured bacterium. RNAcentral's name for it is "partial 16S ribosomal RNA". It matches the Rfam family "Bacterial small subunit ribosomal RNA", at positions 29 to 507 of the family's 1533-position model. The record is from RNAcentral.
AGUGAACGCUGGCGGUAGGCCUAACACAUGCAAGUCGAACGGCAGCACAGUAAGAGCUUGCUCUUACGGGUGGCGAGUGGCGGACGGGUGAGGAAUACAUCGGAAUCUACUUUUUCGUGGGGGAUAACGUAGGGAAACUUACGCUAAUACCGCAUACGACCUACGGGUGAAAGCAGGGGAUCUUCGGACCUUGCGCGAUUGAAUGAGCCGAUGUCGGAUUAGCUAGUUGGCGGGGUAAAGGCCCACCAAGGCGCCGAUCCGUGGCUGGUCUGAGAGGAUGAUCGGCCACACUGGAACUGAGACACGGUCCAGACUCCUACGGGAGGCAGCAGUGGGGAAUAUUGGACAAUGGGCGCAAGCCUGAUCCAGCCAUACCGCGUGGGUGAAGAAGGCCUUCGGGUUGUAAAGCCCUUUUGUUGGGAAAGAAAAGCAGCAGGUUAAUACCCCGCUGUUCUGACGGUACCCAAAGAAUAAGCACCGGCUAACUUCGUG